CUCCGCUCCUGCCUGUGGGGGCCCUCCCUCCACUCCUUCCCGAGGUGGGUCCCUCUUCAAGGCCUUCCAGAGGGGUCCCGCCUUCCAAACCUUUUGGAAGGGGCACGCCCUCUUCUCCAGAGGGGACCAGCCCUCUACCUUGCCUUCCUGAGGGGUCCCGCCUUCCAGAGGGGGUCCGCCCUCUACCUGGCCUUCCUCCAGAGGGGACCCGCCCUCUACCUUGCCUUCCUGAGGGGUCCCGCUUUCCAGAGGGGGUCCGCCCUCUACCUGGCCUUCCUCCAGAGGGGACCCACCCUCUACCUUGCCUUCCUGAGGGGUCCCAUCUUCCAGAGGGGACCCGCCCUCUACCUUGCCUUCCUCCUGAGGGGACCCGCCCUCUACCUGGCCUUCCUCCAGAGGGGACCCGCCCUCUACCUGGCCUUCCUCUAGAGGGGACCCGCUCUCUACCUGGCCUUCCACCUGAGGGGACCCGCCCUCUACCUCGCCUUCCUCCAGAGGGGACCCGCCCUCUACCUCGCCUUCCUCCAGAGGGGACCCGCCCUCUACCUGGCCUUCCUCCAGAGGGGUCCCGCCCUCUACCUGGCCUUCCUCCAGAGGGGACCCGCCCUCUACCUCGCCUUCGCCGGCCUCCUAAAGGGUUCUGCCUUCGCCGCUGCCGGCCUUCAGAGGGGUUUCUUUGCCGCUGCAGGCCUCCUGAGGGACUGGGCCCUCAUCGUCCUUGCCGCCGGCCUCCUGAAGGAUCCGCCUUCACUCUGCCUCUGCUUGCCCCCCAGGCCGUCCGCCUGAGGCUCCCUGCCAUGCCCUUGGGCAGUUUUCUGGCCGCCCGCCUGACACCCCUCCGCUCUGCCCCAGUCCAUUUUUUUUUUUGAUUCCCUCCUCCUGGCUCCCCUCCACCCACCUGAUUUGGGUUUGACUUUCUUCGUUGAUUUUUUUGCGAUUGUCGUGGGUCGCCUGGGAGUCGACCCUUAAGGGGGGGGUACUAUCAUGGUCUGUCGUGUUUUGGUGUGUUUCCCUGCGUUUCCCUCCUGUAUUGAUUACUGCUCCCUCCCCUAAUGGGUCUCGGCUGUUCCUCGUUGCGUCUGCUACUUAAGCCCUUGUCUUUCCUUUGUUCCUGGUGCUGUCAUUGUGGUUAGUUCGUCCUGCGUGUUCUCUGUUGUCACCUGUGUUCCCUUGCUCCUUGUUCCUUGCCUUAGCCUUUAAGCAGAAAUAAAGUGCUGUUCUCCCUAAACCGUCUGCAUCUGGGUCCUACCUGCCUGCCUGCACCCACAACCCUAACAAUUUGGGCCCUUUUCAUGUUCAUAUUCACGCUGACAAAUAAAACGCACAUACAUCAUUUAUGGUAAUAAUAUAUAUUUUUUCCUCCCAAAAAUGUUUUGUGCCGGUGAAGGGGUUGCCCAGCUGAAAAAAAGUCUUUGGGGGUACACUAGUAGAAAACAUUUAGAACCACUGCGUUAAGGCGUAGUGAAGUCCCGGGUGUAGGGCGGGGGAAGGGAGGGAGUGUUUGGUACUUACUUGAGGGUCCACCAACCUGGUAGGGUCCGGGUAGAGGUAGAACUUGAUCCCGUUGAUGGCCCCCGGCAGCGUCAGCCCCCGGACCAGCAGCACCACCAGCAUCAGGUAGGGGAAGGUGGCCGUGAAGUACACCACCUAGCAGAGACGGCAGACCCAGGAGAGAGGAGGAGGAGGGGGAGGUGGAGUUUGGGGGUUAAUUUGCAAUUUAGAACAGCAUGAACAAAUAAGUGUAUCACAACAAUACUACAAAGAAAUGAAUUUUAUAUUAUGUUGAAUAUUUUCUUCAGAUUGAUAAAAUAAACAGGCCAAUUUUGUCUCAAUCGCGAGAGAAUGCGACGCACAAACAUACAAGCAUAAAAAAACACACAGAAGUUCAUAUUUAUGCAAACACACAGGCAUGCACACACACACACACA
Long non-coding RNA from Gadus macrocephalus (Pacific cod), 1928 nucleotides. RefSeq lists it as uncharacterized. NCBI's taxonomy places the organism in Eukaryota, Metazoa, Chordata, Actinopteri, Gadiformes, Gadidae. The record is from RefSeq and is a predicted model, not a curated record. The transcript is spliced from 2 exons.